AGGGUUGCAGCUCAGUGAUAGAGCUUUUGCCUAACAUGUGAGAGGCCAUGGGUUCAAUCCCCAACACUGCUA
This 72-nucleotide transfer RNA is filed under the name Heterocephalus glaber (naked mole-rat). It matches the Rfam family "tRNA". Rfam says of the family: Transfer RNA (tRNA) molecules are approximately 80 nucleotides in length. Their secondary structure includes four short double-helical elements and three loops (D, anti-codon, and T loops). The record is from Rfam by way of RNAcentral. Lineage: Eukaryota; Metazoa; Chordata; Mammalia; Rodentia; Bathyergidae.